CACUGGUCUUCUAAGCAGAUUGAAACAGCUUCAUCUCAUUCCUGAUUCAUCCUGAUCCCCUCAGUGGCUUGCUCUUGUAUUGGAAAUUGGCCCAAAUGGGUUUAAAAUGGUCAGAAGUUGAUCAGUUCAAAUCUUUUCUGACAAGUAAAUAUUAGGUCUGACCAGUUCAAAUCUAUUUUGACCAGUUUAAAGUAAUUCUGUAGAGCUGGAGCCUGAGGUCGGUAAACCCAGGAAGAUGGCUGAAGAUUAUGCUGAUUCGAGCCAAAGCAAGAAAUCAGAAAUGUUCCCUGAAUGAAACUACUGAACUGUUCUGAGGAGCGAAGGAGAAAUUGUUCAUUGAAACACUUUAUAAACCAUAAAGCACAACAUAGAUAUUCUGUUCUUGCCCUACGCCACCCUGGACCUGUGGCCACCAGAAGUCCUGAGAUGUGCACAGAAGAAAGGCUAUAUGAGGAUGCAGUUUGAAGGUGGCCAAGGAAAAAGCAAGGAAAAAACAAGGAAUAACAAGCCAAGAAGAGAUUCCUCACCAGAAACCAACC
Long non-coding RNA from Galeopterus variegatus (Sunda flying lemur), 539 nucleotides. RefSeq lists it as uncharacterized. The transcript has 4 exons. The record is from RefSeq and is a predicted model, not a curated record. NCBI's taxonomy places the organism in Eukaryota, Metazoa, Chordata, Mammalia, Dermoptera, Cynocephalidae.